This 568-nucleotide long non-coding RNA is filed under the name Crocodylus porosus (Australian saltwater crocodile). RNAcentral describes it as "lncRNA (ENSCPRG00005010468.1)". Lineage: Eukaryota; Metazoa; Chordata; Crocodylia; Crocodylidae. The record is from RNAcentral.
UUUGAGUGGAAGAAAUCAACUCCUACAGCAGCCUGGAAACAGCAAGAUGUGGCAAAGGACUUUCUGUCCUGUGCCCAGCUAUUAGAAAAAAGGAUUGACAGAGACUCAAAAGAAGGGUCAGAUGGAAACCAAACAGUAAUUCUGGGGUCACCAAUACCUGCCAAAGAGAAGCAUCUAAGCUGGUGUUUCACUUCUUCACCAUCAAAGUCAGUGGCAUUUACACAUGUGCAAGCACUGGCUUGCACCCCUUGCUGAAAUGUGGCCAAGAUUUUGGUUGUAUGUGAACUCUGGAUCUCAAAAGUCAGGCUCAGCUGAAACAGAUGUAACAUCAAAACCAUUUGAAAGUGCAACCCAUCAACUGGCAAUUACCUUGGAAGGUUCAAGAAGUGCUGCACAGCUGAGCUUGCUGUUUUACUUUCCUCUGAAGCAUCUAUUAUUGGCUAACUAAUGGUGGAGCUGUUCUGGGAGAUCUGUUCAUUCCUCCUUGACAUCCUAUCAUUCAACUGUUCUUCAAGGAAGGCAUUUCCAUGACAAAUGAAAAUCUUAUUUUAAGAAAACCUGGCACGAA